RNAcentral lists this ribosomal RNA (161 nucleotides) under uncultured bacterium. RNAcentral's name for it is "partial 16S rRNA". It matches the Rfam family "Bacterial small subunit ribosomal RNA", at positions 358 to 511 of the family's 1533-position model. The record is from RNAcentral.
GGAAUCUUCCACAAUGGGCGCAAGCCUGAUGGAGCAACACCGCGUGAGUGAAGAAGGGUUUCGGCUCGUAAAGCUCUGUUGUUAAAGAAGAACACGUAUGAGAGUAACUGUUCAUACGUUGACGGUAUUUAACCAGAAAGUCACGGCUAACUACGUCCCAG